UACGAAGGGGGCUAGCGUUGUUCGGAGUUACUGGGCGUAAAGCGCACGUAGGCGGACUUGUCAGUCAGAGGUGAAAUCCCGAAGCUUAACUUCGGAACUGCCUUUGAUACUGCAAGUCUUGAGGAUGAGAGAGGUAAGUGGAACUGCGAGUGUAGAGGUGAAAUUCGUAGAUAUUCGCAAGAACACCAGUGGCGAAGGCGGCUUACUGGCUCAUUUCUGACGCUGAGGUGCGAAAGCGUGGGGAGCAAACAGG
This 253-nucleotide ribosomal RNA is filed under the name uncultured bacterium. RNAcentral's name for it is "partial 16S ribosomal RNA". It matches the Rfam family "Bacterial small subunit ribosomal RNA", at positions 524 to 776 of the family's 1533-position model. The record is from RNAcentral.